CAUCGCCUAUUGAUUCUAUAUUAGGUAUUGCCUGCCCUAUGAUUUAAAUGGCCGCAGUAUCCUGACUGUGCAAAGGUAGCAUAAUCAUUUGUCUCUUAAUUGGAGGCUGGUAUGAAUGGCGUAACGUAAGAAACACUGUCCCAUUGUUAUAAACUUAACUUAAUAUUUAAGUCAAAAAGCUUAAAUGUUAGUACAGGACGAGAAGACCCCUUAGAUCUUUAUAAUGACUUAUUGCAUGUUUAUAGUAUUAAAAUAAAUGAAAAUCAAGGUAUAUUAUUUGGUUGGGGUGACUAGAGAUAAAUAAACAUCUCUAAAAUAAACUUUUGUGUUAGGAUUAAAGACCCAUAAGGAGAUUAAAAGAUGAAGUUACCUAGGGGAUAACAGCGUAAUUUAAAUUUAGAGUUCUUAUCAAAAUUUAAGAUUGCGACCUCGAUGUUGGAUUAAGAUUAAAGACAGACGCAACAGUUUGUUCUAAUGGGUCUGUUCGACCUUUAAAUUCUUACAUGAUCU
This 510-nucleotide ribosomal RNA is filed under the name Cloeodes bicoloratus. RNAcentral describes it as "partial 16S ribosomal RNA". It matches the Rfam family "Bacterial large subunit ribosomal RNA", at positions 1827 to 2606 of the family's 2925-position model. Lineage: Eukaryota; Metazoa; Arthropoda; Insecta; Ephemeroptera; Baetidae. The record is from RNAcentral.